Molecule: ribosomal RNA, 246 nt
Filed under: uncultured Flavobacterium sp.
Lineage: Bacteria; Pseudomonadati; Bacteroidota; Flavobacteriia; Flavobacteriales; Flavobacteriaceae
Description: partial 16S ribosomal RNA
Rfam family: Bacterial small subunit ribosomal RNA
Source: RNAcentral
UCGAGAGUUUGAUCCUGGCUCAGGAUGAACGCUAGCGGCAGGCUUAACACAUGUAAGUCGAGGGGUAUAGUUCUUCGGAGCUAGAGACCGGCGCACGGGUGCGUAACGCGUAUGCAAUCUACCUUUUACAGAGGGAUAGCCCAGAGAAAUUUGGAUUAAUACCUCAUAGUAUGUGAGAAUCGCAUGGUUUUCACAUUAAAGUUCCAACGGUAAAGAUGAGCAUGCGUCCCAUUAGCUAGAUGGUAA